This 66-nucleotide transfer RNA is filed under the name Hyalessa maculaticollis. RNAcentral's name for it is "tRNA-Asn". The record is from RNAcentral. Lineage: Eukaryota; Metazoa; Arthropoda; Insecta; Hemiptera; Cicadidae.
UUAAUUGAAGCCAAAAUUAAGGCACUUUAAUGUUAAUGAAGUUUUUGAAUAAUUUUUCCAAUUAAA